UUUACAUAUUUAGACCUAUUUUCUGCAGUGUUAUUGCAUAUUGAACAACGUGGUAUAAUAUGAACCUUUACUACAUAUUUUCAAAUUUGCUGCUUGUUAAAGCAUUACCUACGUAACAUGUAACUAAAUAAAACAAAGCUAUUUUAUAUAGGAAAUAUGUAUUUUACACAAUUUAUUGCUCCUCACUUUAGCUUUCGAUCACAUGCCUGCAUACACCUGCAUACAUGUAAAGUAAAUACUUUUUACUUUAAGGUCUAUGGUACAUACAUACAUAAUAUGAACUUUAUUUCUGAAAAUUCACACGUCACAGGAAUAUUAAUUUAUACAGACCACAAUCACAAUGAAUUCAGGAUCAGUAAGUUCAAAGUUUGUGCAAGGUUUGAAUCUCCACUAAAAAAUGGUGUUAGCUUUUGCAUUCUGUAAUGCCUUAAAAGCAGGCGCUAGCGAUCCAACGCUUCGUGUCUUCGGCGGCAGACCCGCGGAUCCAUUCGAAUACCCAUAUGUCGUAAGAAUGGAAAUUCAAGGCAAAGUCAAGCUGCAAGACAGUUACAAGGGCCUGUCUAUUCACGUGUGCACCGCGUCUGUGCUGAGCCUCGUUUGGACGCUGACAGCGGGCCAUUGCAUUGAUGGUGUUGACUAUAUGAUAGCUCACCAUUUGCUUGAAUCGGAUUUAUAAGUUUGGUCAUCAGAUAUGGGUCAACAGACAACAGUUUUAGUGCCGUCAUCGCCACAUUAAAGCAUCCAACGUAUAAGUUUAUUAAUAUAAAAACAAGCCAAUUAUUACGUAACGAUGUCGGGCUACUGAAAACUAUGCCAAUAAAACUUGACUGGUACGGCAAGCUGAGCGCAAUGGAGUACCCCUCUCUGAUGGGACAAGCGUCUGUCGCGGUCGGAUACGGCCUCACUAAGGCGGGCAACCAAGUGGACACUACGUUGAAGCUUGGUCAGCCGCUGCAAGUCUUGGACGUUCUUAUCCAAAAAUGCCCGAAGAUUGACCUGACGUAUACUUAUCCAAACGUAUGUAUUAGCAGACAAUGCAAACAGCAGAUCCCCACCACACUUUGUCCGGGUGAUUCUGGGGGGCCCUUGAUUCAUCAUUCGGGAAUCGUAGCAGUUAAUACAGCAACGUUUAUAAAAUGCAAUUUGCGAGUGGACAACCUUGCGGUGACGGAUAGUCGAGUUGCUGGUGUCUUAACGCCUGUCGGUCCUUUCAUUGGGUGGAUAACCCACCACAUAACGAAGGAUAAGACAACGAUAUAAUAAAAUAUUACUAAGUCAUUUUAAUAUUGUUUUCGAUUAUUGCGUACUUUCCAUCAAUACAUUUGAACGAAAAUCUAGUUUAUUGAUAUUGGUUUUGUAAACAAUAAUAACUACUUUACUGGACUGCACAUAAAAUUAUAGUGUUAAAAUUCAUAUAAAAUUCAUUCAUUCAUACAAAAGCAAAAUAGUAAUAAAAUUUUACGAAUGCUGUUCAUAGGGACAUCGUUCAGUAUGUUUUGCUUUAAGUAACAACUAGCCAUUCUACCGAAGCUAAAAGGUAACGGGACCAGAAGUAAUUCAGAAUUCAUGUACAAAAGAGUAGCUGUUUCAUUACAAACUAAAUAAAUCUCAAAAUGAUUCCAGUGUUACUUAUUUUAAGUGUCCUAGGCGGUGUGAUUGAAGCCGCACUGCGGAUCUUUGGCGGCAGAGAUGCAGACCCAAUGGAAUACCCAUACGUUGUCAGACUAGGAAUGAAAAUUUCUUCAAACCAACUUGACGCAUAUUUCGAAUACGUUUGCACUGCAUCAGUGCUAACUCCUGUUUGGACGCUCACAGCGGGACACUGCGUUGAUGAUGCUGUUUUAACCUUUUUGCAAUCUUCAUAUCCCACAGCAUCUUUGAAAUUCGCCAUAAUGUAUGGAUCAGCAACAGCACACCGUUCGACCACCGACAAUCUCAGUGACAUCGUUGCGACUGUUAAGCACCCGGCUUAUAAUUUACUUAAUUUAGUGACCAUACAGCUUGGUGCAUCAGGAUUUAACGACGUUGCACUAGCAAAGACUAAGUCGACGAAAUUGCCCAAGUACGCAAAGCUGAGUGCGGUUGAGUACCCUUCUCUGGUGGGACAAGCGGCCAUCGCAUUUGGAUAUUAUUAUUAUAUUAUUAUUAUUAUUUUCGCAAAAAAGCUUUUUCUCCCAUCAUAUGCUUGAACAGACUUUGCAGUCAACCCGCUACAAAUAUCUGUCGUGGUGAUUCUGGGGGACCCCUGCUGCACGAGUCAGGAAUUGUUGGAAUUAAUCAUAUGGGUGAAUCACACGAAUGUACACUGCGAUCAGCAAAGUCAGGACUUAUGAAAAGUAGUACUGUCGGGUUCAACAUACCGAUCAGUCCCUAUGUGGGAUGGAUAUCUAAUCAAAUACGAGAAAAGGAAGAAGCCCACUAGAUAUGGUGGAGUAAAAUCCAUCUAAAUACCUACAUCGCGGCUUCAUUGCUUACGACUGGGAGACUCCGUCAACAUCUAGUGAACUCUAGUGCGUUGAACUGAAAAUCGUCGGGUUCGAUCACUCAUAACUCGAGAACUGCUAGACUGA
Molecule: long non-coding RNA, 2570 nt
Organism: Ostrinia nubilalis (European corn borer)
Lineage: Eukaryota; Metazoa; Arthropoda; Insecta; Lepidoptera; Crambidae
Exons: 2
Source: RefSeq, a predicted model, not a curated record